This 245-nucleotide ribosomal RNA is filed under the name uncultured bacterium. RNAcentral describes it as "partial 16S ribosomal RNA". It matches the Rfam family "Bacterial small subunit ribosomal RNA", at positions 524 to 768 of the family's 1533-position model. The record is from RNAcentral.
UACGUAGGUGGCAAGCGUUACUCGGAAUUACUAGGCGUAAAGCGCAGGUAGGUGGUUGGGUAAGUCCAUGAUGAAAGCUCCCGGCUUAACUGGGAGAGGUUCGUGGAUACUGCCUGGCUCGAGUGUGGGAGAGGUGACUGGAAUUCCCGGUGUAGCGGUGAAAUGCGUAGAGAUCGGGAGGAACACCCAAGGCGAAAGCAGGUCACUGGCCCAAUACUGACACUGAGCUGCGAAAGCUAGGGGAG